This 394-nucleotide long non-coding RNA is filed under the name Gossypium raimondii (Peruvian cotton). RNAcentral's name for it is "long non-coding RNA (GRAI_LNC008136)". Lineage: Eukaryota; Viridiplantae; Streptophyta; Magnoliopsida; Malvales; Malvaceae. The record is from RNAcentral.
CGAUUUUUAAUGUCAGACAAAUUAAUUAGGUAAAUUACAAGGUAAACAGACUAAAGGGUGCUAGUUAUAGGAUUCCAUCAAAACAAAUACACAAAUAUACAAUUAAGCUAGAGGUACCCUAAGUGGUAAAAAUUUUCAAAUAUCAACUUUUCAAGGCCCAAUUUUAGCCCGGGCCCAAAAGCCACAAACAGAAAAAAUAAACCCAAAUAAAUAAAACAAAAUAAAAUCAAAAAUAAAAAAGACCCAAAAUAAAAAUAAUGUUCAGUCGAGAAUUACAUAAACCCAAAUCAGCCCAAAUGCAACAAAAACCCUAGUGGCCCAACAGCCCAAAAAACUAAACAUUUUCAGCAACAAAAAUGGAGGAAAACCCUAGCCGCCGUCGCCCUAACUGCUG